This 497-nucleotide ribosomal RNA is filed under the name uncultured bacterium. RNAcentral describes it as "partial 16S ribosomal RNA". It matches the Rfam family "Bacterial small subunit ribosomal RNA", at positions 28 to 507 of the family's 1533-position model. The record is from RNAcentral.
GAUGAACGCUGGCGGCGUGCCUAAUACAUGCAAGUCGAGCGAACAGAUGAGGAGCUUGCUCCUCUGACGUUAGCGGCGGACGGGUGAGUAACACGUGGAUAACCUACCUAUAAGACUGGGAUAACUUCGGGAAACCGGAGCUAAUACCGGAUAAUAUAUUGAACCGCAUGGUUCAAUAGUGAAAGACGGUUUUGCUGUCACUUAUAGAUGGAUCCGCGCCGCAUUAGCUAGUUGGUAAGGUAACGGCUUACCAAGGCAACGAUGCGUAGCCGACCUGAGAGGGUGAUCGGCCACACUGGAACUGCGACACGGUCCAGACUCCUACGGGAGGCAGCAGUAGGGAAUCUUCCGCAAUGGGCGAAAGCCUGACGGAGCAACGCCGCGUGAGUGGUGAAGGUCUUCGGAUCGUAAAACUCUGUUAUUAGGGAAGAACAAAUGUGUAAGUAACUAUGCACGUCUUGACGGUACCUAAUCAGAAAGCCACGGCUAACUACGCG